AGUGGAGCAAUCCAUGAGUACAGUGGCGACCGGGUGAGUAACACGUGACUAACCUACCCUCGAGUGGGGAAUAACUCCGGGAAACCGGAGCUAAUACCGCAUAACAUCGCAAGAUCAAAGCCGAAAGGCGCUUGAGGAGGGGGUCGCGGCUGAUUAGCUAGUUGGCGGGGUAAUGGCCCACCAAGGCGAAGAUCGGUAUCCGGCCUGAGAGGGCGCACGGACACACUGGAACUGAAACACGGUCCAGACUCCUACGGGAGGCAGCAGUGGGGAAUUUUGCGCAAUGGGGGAAACCCUGACGCAGCAACGCCGCGUGGAGGAUGAAGUCCCUUGGGAUGUAAACUCCUUUCGACCGGGAAGAUACUGACGGUACCGGAAGAAGAAGCACCGGCUAACUCUGUGCCAGCAGCCGCGGUAAUACAGAGGGUGCGAGCGUUGUUCGGAAUUAUUGGGCGUAAAGGGCGCGUAGGCGGUGCGGUAAGUCACCUGUGAAAUCUCCUGGCUCAACUGGGAGUCUGCAGGCGAAACUGCCGUGCUGGAGUAUGGGAGAGGUGCGUGGAAUUCCCGGUGUAGCGGUGAAAUGCGUAGAUAUCGGGAGGA
This 600-nucleotide ribosomal RNA is filed under the name uncultured bacterium. RNAcentral describes it as "bacterial SSU rRNA". It matches the Rfam family "Bacterial small subunit ribosomal RNA", at positions 73 to 705 of the family's 1533-position model. The record is from RNAcentral.